RNAcentral lists this long non-coding RNA (608 nucleotides) under Mustela putorius furo (domestic ferret). Its description in RNAcentral is "lncRNA (ENSMPUG00000029301.1)". Lineage: Eukaryota; Metazoa; Chordata; Mammalia; Carnivora; Mustelidae. The record is from RNAcentral.
CCUCUUCCAAUAAGCACUUUUAUCUUGUGGUUUUAAACAAUAUACACAUUGGCAGUAAAUAGCUGAGUAAUCUUUUCAAACUUGCAUAAAUUUCAAACCAGAUUUUCACUCUCCAAACGAAUUGAAAACAAAUUCUGAAAAAUCAUGGAAAACAAAUGGAACUGAAAAAUCUGUAAGUAUUUAAACAGACUCUCAGGACCCCUAAGUAACGUUAAAAAGUACCCUGAGAAUGAAUCAAAACAAUAUAAUUGCUUGCGAUUACUGUGCAUGUAAAUAUGGAAUCAGUCCCAAAGGACUGGAUGGGUAAUAAGUAUUUCUCUUUUAUAUGUCUGCUGGCUCUGACCCUGGAAACACUCAGCUGGGAACUGGUGUGUCUGCUCUGAUGUCUGGGUGGACUACAGCUGGGCAACAUCACCAUGCCUGUGCAUGAGAAGGAAUGAUUCCCCCUCCUCCCUCUCAAUUCUUCUGACAUCUGCUAAUGAACUCCAGAGGACUGACUUUGCAGAGCCGGCUCAUCCCUCCUGUAGAGGAAGGACAUUUGGGAUAAUGCAUUGCUGCAAGUAACUAUGUGAAGAUAUUUGAAGAUAUUUGUGAUGUGUGUGAUAUUU